GAUGAACAUUUUAAGUUUUAUUAAACAAGAGCAAACAAUAUAUAACAGUCUACAACAAUUUAACAAGUAAAACUGUCUGUUUAUACAUGUAUAAAACUGUAACCAUUGAUUCCCUGAAUGCAAGUUCUAUACAACAACUCUGUUUAUAUAAAUCCAAUCCCUGCCUUGAAAACAACUGUAAAAUUUUAUGUUUCACAAAGCUUCUAAUAACCACUCUCUGUAAUUUAUUUUGAGGAUAUUUUCUAUGCCAUGACUGAUACUGUUAGGAAAAUUUGAUGUUGGUCAAUCAUUCAGUUUAGAAGAAUGUCUGAUAAAUUUUAAAUUUACGUUGGAAAAGAGUUAUUACUGAAGUUGUGAAUUUUCAUCUAAUCAGAAAGCCCACCUAGCCAAAAUCGUCAUGAUAUUUUUUUUCGUGACUUGGUGUCUGAUUUCAUUGUAAUGGGACAAGGCAUGCCUCCAAGGGACAAAAUAUAAGUUAAACUAAAAAGGUUUUGUUCCUAGCAAUAAAAUAUACCAGUAUCAGUAUAUAUGAUACAGGAAUACGUCAUUUUAUGAUAUGCACAGUUUUCAAGACAUUUAUUAGUGAAUGAUAUGGAAGGAUGAUGCACUUUUCUGGUUGAGAAAAUGUCUAGUAUUAGUAAAAUAUAAGGAUCUACCUAAGACAAUAAAUGAUGACUUCAUAUGGUAUAGAAAUGGGAAUCUGAACCAUUUUUGAAAGAUGUAACCCCAUAUAACAUGAGGUGGAGGGGCACAACACCCAGUGAUAAGUUUUAAGCUGCAUUGUAAUGGUCUUGCAUUCCAACAAAGGAUACAAAAGGUUUUAGAUUGGACUUUUAAAAAAUCUGUUAUUUGACCUUGAAAUUCAAAGGUCAAGGUUCAUUUUUAAAUGAUAAACAACAUAGUGUAUUGAGAUGAUGCACUUAUGUGUCAAAUCAGUUAUAAAAGGAUAAAAGGUAUAUUCUCGUCAGAAGAAAAUGUUCCCAAAAAUCAAUAAUUUUGACCUUGCUGUAAAAGGUUGAGUCAGAUAAAUGUCAUGAUAUGUGACCCAUUGUCUUACACAUGUUAAUACACAUUUGUUUACGAUUUCACAGUUUAAAGAUAAAAAAAAAAGUUUUUGUUCCUACAAGAUUUUAUGAGAAUCAGAAUGCAAUAUGCAUUACAAAAAAGGCAAGUUUGGUAGUUCACCACAAUAUUGGAU
Molecule: long non-coding RNA, 1198 nt
Filed under: Mytilus galloprovincialis (Mediterranean mussel)
Lineage: Eukaryota; Metazoa; Mollusca; Bivalvia; Mytilida; Mytilidae
Source: RNAcentral